CCAAUUCCAGAAAACACCUAUCCAAAUCCACCAUCGGGCUAGGCGGCAGAAGCAUGUUGGUCGUGGAGGGAGCCGCCGCCGGGGACUCCGGCUAGCCGAUGUUGAUCCCUAGGGAGUGGGCCGUGGGGAUGGCUGGGUCCACCAAGAGGUCUCUCACGGCCUCGCCUGGCGGGAUUGGACCGGUGGCCAGAUCACCAGCGCGGGAGCUCCAUGUGAAGCGUCCUGUUUGUGUGGACAGCCUAUUCGGCCCCCUCAUCUCCGUGCGGUUACGAGGAUCUGAGGAAUCACCCUGUUACCUGGAUCUCAAGUGCCAGGUCAAGAACAGGUACCGCAGGAUGAGGCGCAUGGAGGAUGCUGCGAUGAGUUCGUGAGAGAGAUCUAGGCCGUCGUCUCCCAGUCAACUUUGGAUUGCUGGAUCGUUGCCUCCUUAUAUGUAAUUAUUUAUUUUGUAUAGAACUCCUAUUAUAUAGUAAAGUUGUAACAUUC
Zea mays is the source of this 486-nucleotide long non-coding RNA. RefSeq lists it as uncharacterized. The transcript has 3 exons. The record is from RefSeq and is a predicted model, not a curated record. Lineage: Eukaryota; Viridiplantae; Streptophyta; Magnoliopsida; Poales; Poaceae.